This is an RNA transcript of Musa acuminata AAA Group (dessert banana), 2222 nucleotides long. It is a transcript of the gene named 15-cis-phytoene desaturase, chloroplastic/chromoplastic, with no coding region annotated. The transcript is spliced from 16 exons. NCBI's taxonomy places the organism in Eukaryota, Viridiplantae, Streptophyta, Magnoliopsida, Zingiberales, Musaceae. The record is from RefSeq and is a predicted model, not a curated record.
GGGGAAUCCGUGCAAACACACCCCUGAAGAUAAAACAAAACAAACGCUUUCUUCAUUUUAUCCCUUCGCAUCUGCAACCUUGGAGAUUAACCUCCACUUCCUCCCACCCGUAUUCGAUCUCGUAUCGGAGAUGGAGGUUUAAUUAUCGAUUGUAGAUAGACCUGCUAAGAAUAUAGAGGCCAGCAUGAACAUUAUCGGAUCUGUCUCUCCCAUGAAGUUAAGUGGAACAAUUCAGAGAAGAUACUGGUGGCAUCCAAAUCCUGAUAAAAAAUGUUCAUUUCACAAAUGUUCUGGAAGCAACAAACUGGAAUCGUUCAGGAAUAGUGAGUUCAUGGGUUUCAAAAUGAAGGCUCCAAUUUGGUUGCUUAAGGACAAGAAGCCAAGACAUGGUGCCAGCCCUCUCCAGGUUUUCUGCAAAGACUUCCCGAGGCCUGAACUUGAGAACACUGUUAGUUUUCUAGAAGCUGCCCAGUUAUCUUCAUCUUUCUGCAAUGGUCCACGGCCAAGAAAACCUCUGAAGGUUGUCAUAGCCGGUGCAGGUCUGGCUGGUCUAUCUACGGCAAAAUAUCUAGCAGAUGCAGGUCAUAAGCCUAUAGUCUUGGAGGCUAGAGAUGUCCUGGGUGGAAAGGUUGCUGCUUGGAAGGACAAUGAUGGAGAUUGGUAUGAGACAGGCCUCCAUAUAUUCUUUGGGGCAUAUCCCAAUAUGCAGAACUUGUUUGGGGAACUUGGUAUCAAUGAUCGCUUGCAAUGGAAGGAGCAUUCUAUGAUUUUUGCAAUGCCGAACAAGCCAGGAGAGUUUAGCAGAUUCGAUUUCCCAGAAACUCUUCCUGCACCUUUCAAUGGAAUAUUUGCAAUAUUAAGAAAUAGUGAAAUGCUGACUUGGCCAGAGAAAGUGAGAUUUGCACUUGGACUUUUGCCAGCCAUGCUUGGAGGGCAAGCUUAUGUGGAGGCGCAGGAUGGGUUGACUGUUACAGAGUGGAUGAGAAGGCAGGGUGUGCCGGACCGAGUCAAUGAUGAAGUUUUCAUUGCCAUGUCCAAAGCACUCAACUUUAUAAACCCCGAUGAGCUUUCCAUGCAAUGUGUAUUAAUUGCUUUGAACCGUUUUCUUCAGGAAAAGCAUGGUUCAAAAAUGGCCUUCCUAGAUGGUAAUCCUCCUGAAAGAUUAUGCAAGCCAAUUGUUGAUCAUAUUGAAUCAUUGGGUGGAGAAGUUUGGGUUAAUUCACGAACUCAGAAAAUUGAGCUAAACCCCGAUGGAACUGUAAAGCACUUUUUGCUCAGCAGUGGAAACAUAAUCAGUGGAGAUGUUUAUGUAAUUGCCACUCCUGUUGAUAUCUUGAAGCUUCUUUUACCGCAAGAGUGGAAGGAUAUUCUGUACUUCAAGAAGUUGGAAAAAUUAGUGGGAGUCCCUGUUAUCAAUGUACAUAUAUGGUUUGACAGAAAACUGAAGAACACCUAUGACCAUCUUCUAUUCAGCAGGAGUCCUCUUUUGAGUGUAUAUGCAGACAUGUCCGUCACAUGCAAGGAAUAUUAUGAUCCUGAUCGUUCAAUGUUGGAAUUAGUGUUUGCUCCCGCAGAACAAUGGAUCUCAUGCAGUGACCAGGAAAUUGUUGAUGCCACUAUGCAAGAACUGGCUAAGCUAUUUCCUGAUGAGAUUGCGGCGGAUCAAAGUAAAGCCAAAAUUCUGAAAUAUCAUGUAGUAAAGACUCCAAGAUCUGUUUACAAGACUGUUCCAGAUUGUGAACCAUGCCGCCCUUUGCAAAGAUCCCCGGUUAAAGGUUUCUAUCUGGCUGGCGACUAUACAAAACAGAAAUAUUUGGCUUCCAUGGAGGGUGCUGUGCUAUCUGGGAAGCUUUGUGCUCAGGCAAUCACACAGCCUACCAAACCUGGGAUUCAUGAUGGAUGGACUACUACCACAAAUGUCAGAUAAGAACCUUAAAUUUUAAGUUGGUAUCAUCCAUCAUGAGUUCCCUGUGCUGAUAAGGACUAUGAUGUGUUGGUUGCUCAGGCCGCCCAGAGAGAAGUCCAGGUGUCAAUAUGAGUGUCAGCUAGUUGAUUUAUCAUUAACAUCACUGCAAAAGGAAUUUUAUAGGCAUAAGUCAAAAUUGUUUCUGUAAUUGGCCUUUCCAAAUAGCUCGAAGUACCUGUAAGAGUCCAACUAUUGUAGGAAGAUUGCUUUUCACUCUUGAGCAACAUCAAAACCGAAAGAUCCUCUUUUACUGCAA